UACGUAGGGGGCAAGCGUUGUCCGGAAUCAUUGGGCGUAAAGCGCGUGUAGGCGGCUCGAUAAGUCUGCUGUGAAAGUCCAGGGCUCAACCCUGGGAUGCCGGUGGAUACUGUCGAGCUCGAGUCCGGAAGAGGCGAGUGGAAUUCCUGGUGUAGCGGUGAAAUGCGCAGAUAUCGGGAGGAACACCGGUGGCGAAGGCGGUUCUCUGGGCCGUGUACUGACGCUGAGGAGCGAAGCAUGGGAGCGAACGGAUAGAU
Molecule: ribosomal RNA, 257 nt
Filed under: uncultured bacterium
Lineage: Bacteria
Description: partial 16S ribosomal RNA
Rfam family: Bacterial small subunit ribosomal RNA
Source: RNAcentral